CGAGAAAUCUUUAGCUCGCUAGAGAAAGUAAAGUGGCGCACGGGUGAGUAACGCGUGGGUAAUCUGCCUCCGAAUCGGGGAUAACAUUGCGAAAGCGAUGCUAAUACCGGAUAAAAUCUGGUUGGCUUCGGUGAACCGGAUCAAAGGUGGUCUCUUUAUAAAAGCUACCGUUUGGAGAUGAGCUCGCGUACCAUUAGCUAGUUGGUGAGGUAAAGGCUCACCAAGGCGACGAUGGUUAGCUGGUCUGAGAGGAUGAUCAGCCACACCGGAACUGGAACACGGUCCGGACUCCUACGGGAGGCAGCAGUGAGGAAUUUUGCGCAAUGGGGGAAACCCUGACGCAGCAACGCCGCGUGAGUGAUGAAGGCUUUCGGGUCGUAAAGCUCUGUCAGGUGGGAAGAACCCACCAAGUGUUAAGACCACUUGGUGCUGACGGUACCACCGAAGGAAGCACCGGCUAACUCCGUGCCAGCAGCCGCGGUAAUACGGGGGGUGCGAGCGUUAUUCGGAAUCAUUGGGCGUAAAGGGCGCGCAGGCGGUUUUGUAAGUCAGAUGUGAAAUCCCGGGGCUUAACCCCGGAAGUGCAUAUGAAACUAUGAGACUUGAGUAUGGGAGAGGGAAGCGGAAUUCCUGGUGUAGCGGUGAAAUGCGUAGAUAUCAGGAGGAACACCGGUGGCGAAGGCGGCUUCCUGGACCAAUACUGACGCUGAGGCGCGAAGGCGUGGGGAGCGAACAGGAUUAGAUACCCUGGUAGUCCACGCAGUAAACGUUGAUCACUAGGUGUAGCGGGUAUUGACCCCUGCUGUGCCG
Molecule: ribosomal RNA, 810 nt
Filed under: uncultured organism
Description: bacterial SSU rRNA
Rfam family: Bacterial small subunit ribosomal RNA
Source: RNAcentral